AGCUUUAUGAAAAAAUAUAAAGUAAAGCCUGCCCUAUGAAAUUUAAAUGGCCGCAGUAUCUUGACUGUGCAAAGGUAGCAUAAUAAUUAGUCUUAUAAAUCAAGACUGGAAUGAAUGGUUAAAUGAAGUUAUAAAUUUCUUAUAUUAAAAAUUAAAAUUAAUCUUUUUGGUGAGCAGACCAAAAUUUUACUGUAAGACGAGAAGACCCUACUAAGCUUUAUAUAUAUAUAUAUUUAUUACAUUGGGGUAAUGUUAGAAAAGUUUUUCUAUAUAAAAAAAUAUAUGAUAAUAUACCUAAUAUUAUAAAAGAUAAAACAAGUUACUAUAGGGAUAACAGCUUAAUCCUUUUUAAUAGUUCAUAUUGACAAAAGGGAUUAUGACCUCGAUGUUGGAUUAGAAAUAUUACUUGGAGUAACAACUAAGAAAAUCAGUCUGUUCGACUGUUAAAAUUCUUCA
Molecule: ribosomal RNA, 456 nt
Filed under: Mesoperipatus tholloni
Lineage: Eukaryota; Metazoa; Onychophora; Udeonychophora; Euonychophora; Peripatidae
Description: partial 16S ribosomal RNA
Rfam family: Bacterial large subunit ribosomal RNA
Source: RNAcentral